Molecule: ribosomal RNA, 736 nt
Filed under: uncultured Providencia sp.
Lineage: Bacteria; Pseudomonadati; Pseudomonadota; Gammaproteobacteria; Enterobacterales; Morganellaceae
Description: bacterial SSU rRNA
Rfam family: Bacterial small subunit ribosomal RNA
Source: RNAcentral
GAGCAAACAGGAUUAGAUACCCUGGUAGUCCACGCUGUAAACGAUGUCGAUUUGGAGGUUGUUCCCUUGAGGAGUGGCUUCCGGAGCUAACGCGUUAAAUCGACCGCUGGGGAGUACGGCCGCAAGGUUAAAACUCAAAUGAAUUGACGGGGGCCCGCACAAGCGGUGGAGCAUGUGGUUUAAUUCGAUGCAACGCGAAGAACCUUACCUACUCUUGACAUCCAGAGAAUUUAGCAGAGAUGCUUUAGUGCCUUCGGGAACUCUGAGACAGGUGCUGCAUGGCUGUCGUCAGCUCGUGUUGUGAAAUGUUGGGUUAAGUCCCGCAACGAGCGCAACCCUUAUCCUUUGUUGCCAGCACAUUAUGGUGGGAACUCAAAGGAGACUGCCGGUGAUAAACCGGAGGAAGGUGGGGAUGACGUCAAGUCAUCAUGGCCCUUACGAGUAGGGCUACACACGUGCUACAAUGGCGUAUACAAAGAGAAGCGACCUCGCGAGAGCAAGCGGAACUCAUAAAGUACGUCGUAGUCCGGAUUGGAGUCUGCAACUCGACUCCAUGAAGUCGGAAUCGCUAGUAAUCGUAGAUCAGAAUGCUACGGUGAAUACGUUCCCGGGCCUUGUACACACCGCCCGUCACACCAUGGGAGUGGGUUGCAAAAGAAGUAGGUAGCUUAACCUUCGGGAGGGCGCUUACCACUUUGUGAUUCAUGACUGGGGUGAAGUCGUAACAAGGUAACCA